Molecule: transfer RNA, 71 nt
Filed under: Bifidobacterium thermophilum
Lineage: Bacteria; Bacillati; Actinomycetota; Actinomycetes; Bifidobacteriales; Bifidobacteriaceae
Description: tRNA-Trp
Rfam family: tRNA
About the family: Transfer RNA (tRNA) molecules are approximately 80 nucleotides in length. Their secondary structure includes four short double-helical elements and three loops (D, anti-codon, and T loops).
Source: RNAcentral
GCGUCGGUGAUCCAACGGCAGAAUGACGGUCUCCAACACCGUCCAUGCGGGUCCGAAUCCCGCCCGGCGUG